This is an RNA transcript of Temnothorax curvispinosus, 10005 nucleotides long. It is a transcript of the gene named rho GTPase-activating protein 21, with no coding region annotated. The record is from RefSeq and is a predicted model, not a curated record. The transcript is spliced from 24 exons. NCBI's taxonomy places the organism in Eukaryota, Metazoa, Arthropoda, Insecta, Hymenoptera, Formicidae.
CUGUGAAAUAGGUAUAUGUUUGUGAAAUUUGACGAAAGCGAGAAGGAAAGCUCUAUAGCACGGUUCAGCGCAGCGAUAAAAAACAAAUCUAUACUGUUAGGACAAGGUGCAAUGGCUGACGACCGAAAUAACCACCGGGGCUUCGUCAGGCAGCCACACGGGGCAGGACACUCGUCUCCCCCGCCACCAGCGCCGAGUUCGGGCCCUGGUCCAGGAGAUCCGGCGUCUCCCAGAUCCGUUCAGAAGGAGAACUCGCCUCCUCGUGGUCCUCGAACCCUUCUGCUCCGGCGCAGCGAGAAUGGCUACGGAUUCACGCUGCGACAUUUCAUCGUCUAUCCGCCCGAGUCCUGUUGCAUGCUGCCGGGACACGAGCGGACCAAGGUCGACGAGCCCAUGGACACGAUCUUCGUGAAACAGGUGCGGGCGAAUUCGCCGGCGGCUGAGGCAGGUUUGCGCACUGGUGACCGCGUCGUCUCCGUCGACGGGACGCCUACCCGGGGUGAGCAGUACGCCAGCGUAGUGCAACGCAUUCAACAAGCGGGACCGUGGCUACGCCUCCUCGUAGUCUCCAAGGAGGACGACAUUCUGCAACGGUACUUUGGCGAUACGGCGCAUAAUCCUGAAACGAAUCAACGACCGCGAUUGCGUUCCCCGGAGAGACUAUCGCAGAAACAACGCAAGUCGAUGAGCAGCAUGAUCCCGGGCGGAUCGCCGAGAACGCGACAAUCUUGGGUUUGUUCUCUACCGUCAUCCGAGAGUCCAAAUCAUCAAGAGGAAGCGAUGUGCAGGAUGUCGCCGUCAACGAUGUCUCAAUUUCCGAUUAUGGAAUCUCAAAUCGCGAACGCAUUGCAGCAACAGAAACAGCAGCAACGAAGAGGCAUCUCGGAAGCAAGCGCAUUAUACGAUCUUUCGGAGGACUCUCGAGUUCCGGGGAGGAAAUUGCAGUUGCUGCGUGAGGAUAAUGUGCAACCGAGCGGCCGAUUGUCCCUGGAUUCGAAAUACGAUCUGUAUGAUAGGACGCGGCCCGAGUCGGUGUACUCACGGCCAAGCAACGAACAGCUCUACGACAGAAUCAACGAUCCGAUUUACGAGCGUGUGCGCGUCAGCGAGCACCAUCCACAGCAUUAUUAUCAGCCGUCUUUGUUACGUUAUCCGGUCUCGCAAGCAGAGCCGCAGGUGCCGAUCUACCGGCCGAUCAAGCGAAUGGUGGCUCGACGAGCCAGUGAGGGCAGCGGCAACAUUGAUUCUGAGAUGGCGAGUUACGGCAGCAUCGACGCGCUGAGAUCGAGCGAGUCCAGCAGAUUGAGCAUGGAAUCGAGACGGGACUCGUCGCCCGCCGCUAGCAAGGACAGCAUGUCUCCCUACGAUUCAAAUUCGACUCUAACCGGCAACGAGUGCUCCGACGAUUCCGUCAUUAUGAACAGACUCCGUAAGAGCUUCGAGCAGAAGGCGGAAUUUCUCCGGCGGCCGAGUUAUCCCGUCGGUUGGUCUGUCGAGCCGUCGCUGCUACCGAACAUCGAUCAAUCCGCGGUGAUCCAGAGGGAAUUCUACGCAAGGCCGCAAAAGCUGCAGAGACAAAUCUGGCCGCCUGGUCAGAAUGAACAACAGCAGAGACAGCAAUCUCCUACGAGAAGGUCUCAAGAGAGGAAUGUCGUUACCAAGACCGUCACGAGUUUGAAUAAGCCGUCAAAUCAGAGCGUGCAGAGGAUAAAGGACGUGGACUCUAACUCUGAGUAUUCGAAGCCGCGCAACGAUCAACAACUUGGAGACAAUCAGUCUGUAGCUGGAGAUCACUGUUACUCGCCAUCGCUUCUCUAUGACAACGAGCUCGCGAAGGAACAGCAAUACCGAGGCGCUGGCAAAGGUAGUUUCGUCAGCAUCCUGUCGAGAAUACACGAGAACAUUAGUACAAAUCAGCAACAGACGUCAGAAGAGACGCGAAACGGUUCCUCGUCGCUACCAUCUUCCCCGGGACCGGACAAGAAAGCCGGCAACGACAGAUUUCCGGUACCGCCGCAGGGCUUGCAGAUCGUCUCGAGACGCGCUAAACAGUUCGAGUCCGGUCGUUUGCUGAGCGACGAGGAUGAGCCCGCUGGUGAUCGAACGAAUCUUUACAAGAGCGAAUUGUCCAGAUUGUCAAAUAAGAGAAGUGUACCGAAUGUAGCUGUGCGAAAACGAGAGUUCGAGUCGAAAGCCGAGAACCAGGACUCGAGAAGAUUACCGGCCAGAGAAACGAAAUCUCUUGACACUGGUGCAGCAUUGACAGGCAACAGAAUAAUUCCUAUAGGCAGCAAGCAUAUCCAUUGCGAGCCACCAGCCGACUAUAAAGAGAGUAAAGAUGUGCCUACUAUGGAGACAGAAUCAGUGCGUUUGAGAGCACGCAGCAACAGCGCGGAGUCCUGGGAGGCUACGAACGGUCCAGCGGCACGGAGCAACGCCAGGCAUACGUGGCAGACCGCCGAGGAGGAAGGUAGCACCGAGGACAACAAUAAAGCCUACCGCAAUCAGGACAAUUAUUUACAGUCGGCCAAACUGCAAAUCGCACCAGUCAAUGGUUCUUCGCCCAACGGCUCGACCAAUAACGCUGCGGUACUUAGGCGACAGAAGAAUGCACGGAUCAGUGACGAGGAUCGUGCUACCAGACGGGUUUCGUAUCUGAAGGCAACCUGGGGCGAACGAAUGCACGUUGAUAGCGAUCUGGAGCUCAGCGAUUCCGAACCCGUUCACAUUCACAGAAAUGCGCAUAGACGAUGGCGGCCGCCGUUAUUUCCGAGCGACAUAACGCCUUUGCGACGCAUCUUCGAAGAUAUGACGCAGGUUGCAUCCUUACAUCGAAACUCUCAUCAUCGUAACAGCAUUGCUGUAACGUCAAACAGCUGCGACGAAACUGCGAAGGAUACUGAACCAGUAGAACGGGAGGGAACACUCCAUGUCAAAUUCACAGUGCUCGAUGGCAAGCGAUCUACCGAUCGUUCCUGGAAGCAAGUUUGGGGUGUUCUUCGUGGUCCUAUAAUUUAUUUUUACAAGGAUCGUCAUAGUCAGUCGUUACAAAGUCCUUCGUUGAGCACCGAGAGCGAAACAAAUGCAGGACAAAGUGUCGAUGUCAGGUGCUCCGUGGUCGACGUUGCCGAAGAUUACACGAAACGGAAACACGUAUUGAGAGUGGCAAAUCCUACGGCAGAGGUGCUUUUACAGACCGAGGAUGCGGCAUCCAUGGCCCUCUGGUUAAGGUCACUUCAUUCUCACGCCGCUGCAGAAAGAUCAUCGGACGCCAUAUCUUGUACGUCGAAGCAGCAAGCCGUUCCGCAAACUCCGACAGGUCCCACAACUCCGAAUAGCGGCGUUCCUCCGAACAACGUCCAAAGAUUGAGUCCUCUGCCGAGUCAUAAAGGCAUCAAAAAACUAACAUCGUUUAGGAAUCGAUCCCCAACAGGUCAAUCGCCAGUGAACAAGACGCGCAAGCCGAGUAAUCAGAUGGUGGAACCUUUACCGUCGCCCAAGUCGAAGACUUGGAAAGGACGAAUGGCGAAACAGUUCAGAAGGAUGCACGGUCAAGCCGGCGGCGCGCCAUCCUCCCCCACGGCACAAUCACCGCCAGAAGGGGCCACUUUCAAAGUGCCCCUCGAGAUCUGUCCAGCGUCUUCGUUUUCCGAGUACGUGCCACUGAUCGUCGAAAUGUGCACGAGUAUCGUCGAGGCAAGAGGUCUUGAGGUUGUUGGAAUCUAUAGAGUGCCAGGAAACACCGCUGCGAUCGGUCAGCUCACGGACAAUGUCAACAGAGGAUUCGAGAACAUCAACUUCCAGGAUCCGAAAUGGAGCGAUGUUAAUGUGAUAUCGUCGUUGCUGAAAUCGUUUUUCCGUCAACUUCCCGAUUCUUUGCUCACGGCGGAUCUAUAUCCCAUGUUCAUCGACGCCGAUAAGAUAGAAGAUCCGCAGAGGAGAAUGAUCACGAUACGAAAAUUAUUACGAGAUCUUCCGGAACAUCACUUUGAGACACUGAAAUAUUUAAUGCAGCAUCUAAAGAAGAUAGUGGAGCACAGUGAGAUCAACAAAAUGGAGGCAAAGAAUUUAGCCAUCGUUUUCGGGCCAACACUGGUGCGGGCGAGUGGUUCAAGAGAUAAUAUGGUCACCAUGGUCACCGAUAUGUCGCAUCAAUGUAGGAUAGUCGAGAGUCUGCUGAACAAUGUCGAUUGGUUCUUCUCAGAGGACGAUCUAGACGACUUGAGCAGAUUAAGCGUAAAUUUAAGCCUUCCGACCGACAGUUGCGAAGUUGAACCAGCAUCCAAUCAUAGUCUUCUGUUAAACAAUAUUCAGAAAAUCGAAGGCAUGCGCGACAUGGCAUCUGCUAAAGACAUUGUAUCUUCAAUCAUAUCCGCAGCUAAUAAAAAGAUACAAAGAAGACGAAAAAAUCAGGACGAAAUCGAUAACAGUGAACACGAUAACGAUAAGGUCAAGUUGAAACAAGAAUCGGAGAAUUUGCAGACGAUUCGACGACAGAGUAUGGCUUUAAAUGAACGACAGUGUUCCGUCAGUGAGAUCGUGCAGAUGCAUGAGAGCAAGAGUCAACCGAAUCAUUCUACGGAUCGUUCCCUGUCGGUUGACAGUAAUAACAGUGGUUCAUCACACGGAACGUGUUCGUCGAGUCGUACCAAGUACGCAUUUCAAUCCGCGCCACCAUCUGUAGACUCCACGAGAUUAUCGAUCGACACUGGUUUAAGUUCAGCGGAAACGGGCUCCACUGUGUCCAGCAACGCAUCUAACCAGACGAAGCAAAGUAACGACGAAAUAGCUAUUUUAACGUACGCUGGUUUAAGUGCGACCACGCAGGAGAGAGUACGGAGAUUUGAGGAAGAAACGAAAGCGAUGCUGCAGAGAGACCAGCAUCGACAGAGGCUCGAAGCCGAGAAGAGGGAGGAGGAGAGACGAAGGAUCGAGAUAGAGUGGCAAUUGGCGAAACGAGAGAUGGAGAAUGACGAUCUGCUCGACAGUAUAGUUGAUACUACGGUGUCGCCGAGCCUCUUGUCGGAACGUCUGUCUAGUCUGAACGAGAGACUUGCCGAUAAAUCAUUGAUAGAUUUGUCCGAAAGACACGGCAGAUCGCGUUCGACCACGAGACCACCGCUAUCAAUAGCCGUGCAACAACAGCCCAUGAUGCACCAAAAAGCACAAGCUACUAAUCAACUGACUAGCAUACUGGGGGAGAAGAUGAAUAACGGCGUCAUUAAGAAAUUUAAAACGGAUAAAGAUCCGUCGAUGGAGUCGAUUUGUUUGCCACCAGUUCGAUACGGAAGUCUGGAUUCCUUGCACGAGGUUCACAAUCUCUCGCAGUCCUCUCCGUCACCAUCACAGCAGCAACGAGGCGUUCCCGGUGAUGGCUCGGAUGAUGCAGGAUCUUGUUUUCUGCAGUGGACACAGAAGAUACUCACUAUUAACAAAAAGCUUUCUAGGCACACAGCAAGCGCGGGCUUUUGGUGGUACAUAUCGUCCCACCUAUACGGUACCGCAAGUCCCGGUGGCACCGCCGCGAAGACACCGACCCAGUCGCCAAUGUCAAUGCCAGUGCCGGUCACAGCGGUCCCAAUGCCAAUGCCCGUGCCCGUGUCGGUGCCAGCAGCAGCAGCAGCAGCAGGAGCAACAACAGCAGCCGCAGCAGCAGCAGCAUCAUCGCUGGCAACUGCUGUCGCGUCUGCAGCAACUACCGCAUCAUCGGCGAACAACGAGCCCGCCACCGCCAAGGCUCUAAACCGAUUCCUCCGAGGUAGCGACCUUCUAACGACCCUUACAACCACGUUCGAUCGCAAGUGGAGGUCUCUCAUCAAUCAGUCGUCGAAUCAAGCGCAGCCUCCUCCAGAAUCAGCAUCCUGCAACAAGAACGACAUCACGGAGCAGCAGGAGCAGAAGCAGAAGCCGAGUGCGUCCCCGAGAACCAAGUAUCCGUCUACGGAAGCCUAUCGCGACCCGAGUCUUCACAAAUCGCUCGACAAGAGUCACCUCGCUCGCCCGAAGGAUGACGCUCCCGAGAAGGACACCGAUUCAACGGUAGCCGACAAUAUCCCUUCGGAGUCCAUCACGCCGAACAACGACCGUGGCGCGAACGACAAGCAGAGGCUGGAAACGAAGCCUAUGACAAAUAAUGCGACGGAGAACGAGGGACAGAAAGAUGUGGAUGAAGGGGAUGAUUGUCUGCGCGCGGGAAACCCGAAACGAUACGAAUUAUCAAGUGAGAAGGAGCUUCAGGAAAGUAAAUCGGAGAAUAAUGAUGUAAGUGCAAAGGUGGAGGACAACAGUAGGAGCCACCAUUAUUACGAGACCGGAGACUCCAGUUACUCCAACAAGCUGAAAAAAUUUGAGAGCCUGACGAAUUCUCAGGCGAGGUCCCGCCUGAAACGGUCGGAGUCUCUGAACAAGAGGACAUGCGAGAACACCACCUCGCGACUGAAGAGAUCGGAGAGCUUAAAUAAGCAUUCGACUGAGAGGCUGUCGCCGCUCAAACGAUCCGAGAGCUUGAACAAACAUUCCGGCGACCGAUCGGAGUCGCCGGGCAGCAAGCUGAAACGCUCGGAAUCAUUGACGAAGACCGAGAAGACCGAGUGCAAUAUCAGCAAACGGCGGCAAUCGGUGCGAAAGGAAAGCGCCACGAAGUUAAAGCGGAAGAACGGAAUGUCGGAACGGUCAAUCAAACGAAGGCACACAGUCGGCAGCACCAAGGACUUCGACAAGGUGCACUGGCUCGAUAACAAACUGCAGUCGGAGGCCGAAAGGGUCAUCAGGAGCGACUAUAGACCGAAAAAGAGCCAGCUCAGAACCAGCUCGCCCGAUCUCAGCACCAAUCGAGUUGGCAUGGCCGACACAAGCUUUCUGAUCGAGGUAAGCUUUCGCGGGCCUAGCAACGUCGUCUUUAACGUAACCAACGCUGCUCGGCCGCAGUCAUUGCCGGACGCGAGUCUCGCGUCCAAGGUUUUCAAGGUGCCCCUCGAGAGUCACGUAUAAUACGCUACGAAUAAGUUACUCCGACACAUUUCUAUAUUCACCACCAAAUAAUACAUGCACACAAUGCUGCUGUCAUAUCUAUACCUACCUGCCAUCAUUUUUAAUACUUUUACCGGUUUAUAUUAUAUAUAAACCAAUCUGUAUACCAGAUAUAUAUCUUAUUUUAUAUAUAUCUUAUAUAAAAAAUAAUUAGAUCGCAUCCACAUCUAAGUUCGUUCCGCCGGAAACGCUGACAUUAUUCAUUAAUCGCCAGUGUGCCAAAGAGCUAUCACUCUAUGAAUCGUUUAUCGUUGUCAAACGAUAAUAUCGAAAAUUUGUUUACGACGGCUAGAAUGAAUUAGAUAAAGGAGAAGGUACCUCUGUCUCUGCACUGAUAAUGUUUCAGUCUUUAAUCGAGUUAAAUUUAUAACGCGAGAUCGUUACAACGAUCGAGAAUUGUUCUGAAUUAACGAACCAGAAGCAAUUAGACUCUAAAGAAAAAGAUGACGGUUUAUUGAUCUGCAGACAGCGGAAUUAGAGCUAAUUGCAAGUUGCAUUGAAGAAAUGUAAGAAAGUUAUUUAGUGAUUAUAUAUUGCAUGUGGUAUUUGCAUUGUGUCAAUUUUAUAUAUAUAAAUAUAUAGAUAAUAUAAAUAUAUAUAUAUAUAUAUAUAUAUAUACAUUAUCUUACUUGUGUGAAUUGUGAUUGUGACAUUUUUUUGUACAUUCGUAAUUUAUUGCAUAUCCCCGCAGGGCUCGCAAUCUACUACCAAUACUAUCCUUCUCCUCUCACUUUAACCCUUUGGACCAACGGCUUAACGUCUCUUUGCGAAAGACGGAGCCCAGUUUUCUCCCCACAAGUAUAAAAUUCCUAUAAAUGCUUUUAUUUCCUCGAGAUGAGUUUCGGGUGAUAAUGUUUUACAACUUUUUUGUCUUCUUGCAAUCUCAGUGUUAGUAUAACUUAUUAUUGUAUCUAGCAUUUCAUUAGUAAAAAGAAGAGACCAUACUUCUAUUGGAGUAUCCUUAUCCUUCGUAUCGCCCAACACUUCAGGUUCAUAAUUCGAUUCUUCGUCUGCUUCUGUUUGUAUUCUUCUCUUCUCUUUUUCCGUCGGCGGUAUAACGGACCAUUUGAAAUAGUUGGUGCCAUACAAAAAACGUCUCGCCAAUUUAGUUUUUUUGCGUCGACGAAUGUGCUGCCCCUUCCUCUUCACUUUCCGAUUCUACGAUAUCACUAUAUGCCUCUUCUUCGGUUGCGAUGUCACUCAGUUCCUCAAUAUAAUUGCUUUCUGAGGAACUUUCAUUAUCAGGUUGAUCUUUCUGCUUUGGCAUAUUUUUUUCUGUUCGAGCGAUUCUCGCGAGCGAUGACUUUCUAGAUUUCCAAUAUCUUUGAAAUGUGCAAUUGGUGUAUUGCACGUUUUGCAGGUCGCUUUGGUUUCUUUAAGUGAGAGGAGAAGGAUAGUAUUGGUAGUAGAUUGCGAACCCUACGGGGAUAUGCAAUAAAUUACGAAUUUUACAGAAAUUUACAUUUUAUUGUACAUAAGAUGUAUAAUGCGAGAUGGUUCGAUUAAAUAUAGUAAGGUGAUUAUAUUGUAUGUCUUUAAAUUUAUAUUUUAAUAAUCACUCAAUGAUCAUGUUCUAAGCGCGUGCGAAACUGGCUCGAUCCUCGUGUACGGAUUGGUACUUGUUACGCGAGAAUGCAUUAUUUUUAACGCAUGUGACAAAGGUGGACUUUUAGGAUAAAAAUCAUGACUGCGUUUUGCGGGCGUAUAAUCGCCGGAACACGUCGUCGCAAGCGAUACACUUGAAAGUUCUUUGAAAGAUAGCAUCCAUAGUGUUUAAGAAAACUGUUUUUUUACGUAAGCUCUCCGAUGAAAAGUCUAUGAUGUGAUAAAUUUUAAUCGAUCGCGCGUCUAUUGAUGUACGUACACAUAUCGUUAUGCGUGCUGCGGUUGAAUGCUGUGCGUGUGUGCGGAACUUUACACGAGCGCGUGUGAAUACCUAUUUUCUAUGUGCAUUGUGAUCGAUAUUAACGAUCAGUCUAACAAUAAGUACUACUACUAUUACGUCAUUGUAAAAUUUAUCGUGCAGUAAAGAAGGCAGAACGCGAACGGUGCCGUCAAUUAUAAUGUACAUUUGGUGCCUCGCAUAAUGGGAAAUCUGCUCGUUCCAGGAUGAACAAAGAUUCCUACGUGAUCGGAUGGAAUCACGUCGUUUGCCUAGCUCGGCCGGAUUUCCCAUUGUGCCCCGUUACGAGGAUGAUACGUUAACUGGUGCAACACGUAUGUGUAUCGUUCUUGUAUCGCCGUAAGACAGUUACUCUCAGACGCUUGGGUCUUCUGUGUGGAUCGUUAGUGUUGCAUUAUUUGUAUACCCCCCGAGAUACUUUACACUUUACACUAUGCAAAACUCUGUCUUUAUCUUACCUAUAAUUUGCGUUAAGCGGUCAACGCGCCGCGUCGUGCUUGUAUCCAAGUUAUCGAUAAAUGAAUAUCAAAUCCGAGUGGAGAAACCCACCAAUUCAAUGCUGCGACUGGAAUUUCGAUCGCGGAUAUGAUACGUCCGCGAAUUAUAGAGGAAUUUGCGCGCGAUAUAUUAACUUUAAUAUCGUUAAUGUAUACAUGUCGAAUUCACUCGGAAUCGGCGCAAUAUGUUGCUACGAUAAGUUUAUGUGUUGGAAGAUUUAAUGUGUAAAUACGUACGUGCAGCUAAAUUUUGCGCGAGUCACCGUACAUCACGUGUUAUCUGUUCUGUCUGUCUGGAGCGACGCCCAGUCGUUUAAACAAUUUUACGUAAUACCAUAGUUAUUGUUCGCGCGAAUCGUGGAAUCCGAAGCGUAAAGUAGCCGAGACAAUCGAUUUGAUUAUGCAUGUAAAUACAAAUGUAACUAAAUUCUAAGAGACGACGGUAAGAAGCGAUAUUUAUUUCGAGAGGGACAGCGAUUGCGAUCGCGUUAUUUAUUAUUAACCCAAGCGGAUACGUUUGUCGCGAAUUCUUAAAGGAGCACGAAAUUGUAAAUAAAUAUAUUACUAUGAGAAAAA